RNAcentral lists this ribosomal RNA (254 nucleotides) under uncultured bacterium. Its description in RNAcentral is "partial 16S ribosomal RNA". It matches the Rfam family "Bacterial small subunit ribosomal RNA", at positions 524 to 776 of the family's 1533-position model. The record is from RNAcentral.
UACGGGGGGAGCAAGCGUUGUUCGGAUUUACUGGGCGUAAAGGGCGCGUAGGCGGCCACCGCAAGUCGACUGUGAAAUCUCCGGGCUUAACCCGGAAAGGUCAGCCGAUACUGCGGGGCUAGAGUGCAGAAGGGGGCAACUGGAAUUCUCGGUGUAGCGUGAAAUGCGUAGAUAUCGAGAGGAACACCUGCGGCGAAGGCGGGUUGCUGGGCCGACACUGACGCUGAUGCGCGAAAGCCAGGGGAGCGAACGGG